AGGGAAUCUUCCGCAAUGGGCGAAAGUCUGACGGAGCAACGCCGCGUGAGUGAUGAAGGUUUUCGGAUCGUAAAACUCUGUUGUUAGGGAAGGACAAGUACCGUUCGAAUAGGGCGGCACCUUGACGGUACCUAACCAGAAAGCCACGGCUAACUACGUGCCAGCAGCCGCGGUAAUACGUAGGUGGCAAGCGUUGUCCGGAAUUAUUGGGCGUAAAGCGCGCGCAGGCGGUCCUUUAAGUCUGAUGUGAAAGCCCACGGCUCAACCGUGGAGGGUCAUUGGAAACUGGAGGACUUGAGUGCAGAAGAGGAAAGUGGAAUUCCAAGUGUAGCGGUGAAAUGCGUAGAGAUUUGGAGGAACACCAGUGGCGAAGGCGGCUGUCUGGUCUGUAACUGACGCUGAGGCUCGAAAGCAUGGGUAGCGAAC
RNAcentral lists this ribosomal RNA (426 nucleotides) under uncultured bacterium. RNAcentral describes it as "bacterial SSU rRNA". It matches the Rfam family "Bacterial small subunit ribosomal RNA", at positions 356 to 773 of the family's 1533-position model. The record is from RNAcentral.